RNAcentral lists this ribosomal RNA (466 nucleotides) under uncultured bacterium. RNAcentral's name for it is "partial 16S ribosomal RNA". It matches the Rfam family "Bacterial small subunit ribosomal RNA", at positions 28 to 507 of the family's 1533-position model. The record is from RNAcentral.
GACGAACGCUGGCGGUGUGCUUAACACAUGCAAGUCGAACGGUAAGGCCCUUUCGGGGGUACACGAGUGGCGAACGGGUGAGUAACACGUGAGUAACCUGCCCUCAUCUCUGGGAUAACAGUCGGAAACGGUUGCUAAUACUGGAUAUGAGCUUGCAAGGCAUCUUGUGGGUUGGAAAGAUUUUUUUGGUUGGGGAUGGACUCGCGGCCUAUCAGCUUGUUGGUGAGGUAGUGGCUCACCAAGGCUUCGACGGGUAGCCGGCCUGAGAGGGCGACCGGCCACAUUGGGACUGAGAUACGGCCCAAACUCCUACGGGAGGCAGCAGUGGGGAAUAUUGCACAAUGGACGGAAGUCUGAUGCAGCAACGCCGCGUGCGGGAUGACGGCCUUCGGGUUGGAAACCGCUUUCAAUUGUGACGAAGCUUUUUGUGACGGUAGCAGUAGAAGAAGCACCGGCUAACUACGUG